This 3172-nucleotide unclassified non-coding RNA is filed under the name Pomacea canaliculata. RNAcentral describes it as "serine/threonine kinase-like domain-containing protein STKLD1, transcript variant X1". The record is from RNAcentral. Lineage: Eukaryota; Metazoa; Mollusca; Gastropoda; Architaenioglossa; Ampullariidae.
CAAUAUAUUUUAUUAAUCAUCAAAAUUGUAAAAUAGUUCUGUAAAUUUUGGAUUGUUAGCUAGAGUCUUUGGGGAAAAGAAAAUUCGCUACCAAUCCUCUGUGAGCCUCGCUUUCAAAAGUCCACUAACCACAGGGACGGACAACACGCAUGCGCACUUGCAAAGCUUCACGUUGUCAAGAAUGGAGAACUACAGGCUACUUGAACGUCUUGGUAAAGGCGGACAGGGAUCCGUUUAUUUGGCAGAAAAUAAAGUUGACAACACGAAGUAUGUUAUCAAGAAGAUUGAAUGCUUUGAUGAAAGUGAAGCAAACAAAGCUUUCCAAGAGGCCUUGGUUCUUAAGACAUUAUGUCACCCAAAUAUCUGUGGCUAUAAAGAGUUCUUUGUGAACUGGGACAAGCAAGAGUCCUCAAUGUUUGUGUGUAUUGUGAUGGACUACUAUAGCAAGGGGGACCUACGUGGUAUUAUUAAAGACUACCAAGACAACAAGAAGCCUAUACCUGAAAAGCAAAUCAAAAAGUACUUUUGGGAGAUAGUGGAAGCUCUCAGAUUUGUUCAUGGCAAAGGUGUCGUUCAUCGAGAUAUAAAACCAAGCAACAUUUUUAUAAAAGAUGAUGAAACAGUUUGCCUUGGUGAUUUUGGUGUUUCAACACUCAUGAGUGACCGUCGAACAUGCUCACGCAAUGCUGAAGGUACGACUGUGUACAUGGCCCCAGAAGUAAUGACACAGGCAUUUGACGAGCGAAGUGAUGUGUGGUCACUUGGAUGUUUACUCUUUGAAAUGCUGACUACAUCUUUGUCAUCUCAGAAUGAGGUAGCUCAAAAGCUGACCGAGGCAAAGAAAGAUGUGCAAUCCCUAGAGGAGAUAUAUGAGGAGAUUUGUACUAUUUAUUCAGGAAAGUGGAUAAAAACUAUUCGACACAUGCUGAAAAUUCCACGUGAGACACGGCCAAAUAUAGCCUCACUGAUGAAGAUGGGUUUUGUUUUGGAUUGUGCAAUGGUCGCAGACAGCCCUUUAUUGGACAAGCAGCGACGCAGACGGCAAACUGUCAACAGAAUCCGUCCAUUACCAGAUACUGACAGUGCGGACAGCAUUGUCUGCUACAUCGCAGACACUAUCGAUCAUGAGGAGUGUGUGCUGGCGGGCUUGGAGGUACUGAGUGACAUGCUUCAGGCAAAUGUAGCAGCCCAAGAAAAAGGAGGCCCUCCACAGCCACGCAUAUUCUUGGAUCAAAGGAGCAAAAACCUGAUUUCCUUGGCCAUGUGGGACAACCAAGCAAACUGUGAAGUGCAGAUUGCUGGCUUCGCUGUAUUGACAGCCCUUGUCAAUGAUGCUGACUCCAGUGAUGUGCUUUUCACUCCAGAGCCAAUCUCUAUAAUCAAUAAAGUGAUGAAGUUACACCAUGCCAACCCAGAGGUCCAGCGAGCUGCCGCCUCUCUUAUGUUGGCACUUUCCACCCACAAUGAGGCAAGCAAAACCAUUGGUCAGCUGGGUGGAAUCAAAGACCUGGUGACUGCCAUGAAAAACUACCUGCAUGAUACAUCUGUUAUCACUACUUGCUGUAAUGCCUUGUGGAGUCUCACCCUUAAUGAGAAAAAUGCAGAGAUGGCGGCCGAGCAGAAUGCCAUGCAGCAGGUGUGUCUGGCUCUCAAAACACACCUUCAGUCUCCAGAGGUGGUGGAAGCAGUGACAGCAGCAAUGGUGUCAUUGAGUCUUGAUGAUCGGUGUUUCAGUUCAGUGAAUGAAUUGGAUGCUGUUGGAAGCUUGCUGGAAGCAAUGGAUCUGCACCUCAAGAAUACCAAAAUUAUCAAGAAUGCCUGCAUGACACUUGCAGCUUUGGUAGAGCCCAAUGAGGAGUGUGCUUACAGAAUGCUUACAUCUGAUGACCUGCAAGACAAAAGACUGACAGGCAUUCCUGUUCUUAUUAAGGCCUAUCAGCUGCACCGUGACAACCCUGACAUAGUGGAGGCAAUCAUCACUGUCAUCAUGGAACUCUGUGAAUAUGACGAUAUCAUCCUGGACCUAAACAGCUACAAUGUUGCUGUUCACCUAAAAGAAGUUCGAGCAAAGUAUCUUAAAAACAAGAGGAUGCUGUGGCUUUGAUGCAGCAUACUGAUGUUGAGCUUGCCCUUCUAGAAACGCACAGGCACUAUAAGCAAAACAGGGACAUUGUGACCCCCUGCGAAGCUGCCCUGGAAAAGCUAGGUAUCAGCAAGACAUUGACAUCAAGGCAAAACUCUGUGCAAACAAAGUAGAAUCAUAUCCCAACAUCCCUUCUGCACCUCAUUGUACACCUGCUGCAGCCUAUGUAUGACUUCAUAUCUUGUGUUUUUGUGGAUUGACAAAUGAAAAGAGCCAACACAGAGUGACAAUCAGUAUUAUUAAUAUGACAUUUUCUUGCAAUAAAAUAAAGUAUAUUUAAUAACCGUAUCUUCCUUUUCAGCCUAGGCUCCAAAGUUACAACAGUAUAUGAUGCUACAGAUUUUUAAGUUUGUGGUAUAACAGGGGUAACCUAUAGGUUUACUGAGAAAGCAGGAAAAAUCAUAUUCCAGUUUAUGAUUAUUUCCAUGUUAAGUUGGCAUACAAUUGCAUAAUCCCAAUACUUGUUAAACUGUUGUGAAACAUUUGCCAGAAACAACGAUUUUUACCUGCAUCUAUGAAUUUGAAAAAAAAAAUUUGUGCAUUGCAUUUGGUGGCUAUGUCUGAUGAACUCGUGAUCUGAAUAAACACCCAAAGACAAAUGUUGGUUUGUGAAGUGCAGAUUGAUCUUGUGAGCAUAAAAUCAUGAGAAUAAAUAUUUAUUUUGCUGCUGUAGUCCCUGCAAUUGUGCCAUGGUGCAUGAACUAACUAGAUGUGAUUAACCCCUAUUGUGUUAAUAAAUGUUAAAAAAUGCAAUCCAACUUUGCAACAUUUCUUCCUGAGAAAGUAAUCUGCAAAUUGCAUCUUCAACAUUUACUAUGGUCUUUGACAUUCUAAUCAAGAGUAGCAGAUGAGGCUUGUUGAAAAAUCCAUUUGUAAUUGUAAGUUAUUAUUGUUGAUAGUAUAGCUAUGCACUUCAGAAGCACAGCUAUCUGCCCUUUGAGUCAAAUACAUAAACAUCUGUGAUAUUUAUAAUGUAUAAACUGUUGUGUGUACAUGUGAUGCAUUUAAUAAAGAUUAACAAUAAACAAG